UGCCCCCUUACUGAAGAAGAUAAGAAUCCAUAUGUGUUAUGCAAAAUUAACUUUGUCAUCUUGUAAGUGCUCUAGGCAGUGUCGAGAGGGUGAAAAAUAUGAGAACAAAAAAGAAUUACUUGAUUAAUUUACAACAUCCAUCCUUUACUCCGUCCGUGUCAUCGUUGUUUACCCCUGGGAGUAUUUUUAACUUGAAAAUCUCUAGUGAACUGCCAUUUGCAGUACAUUUGCUUUCCUUGUUAAUUUUUUGGGUUACUCCAUCUUGCUCUAUUAAGUAAAAUUUGAUAUGUGGAGUAGCAGCAGUAAGCUAGACCAUCCGUCAAUAGACUACACCACGGAGGUCACCCUCAUAUGGAUAAUGAAUCAUUAUCCCGUUCUUGUAUACCUGAGAUGUUCCUAAUGAAUAAUUUACUAGACAAACAAUCUUGUUUGCCGUAAGAAUUCUGGCAUGCCAAAAUCUGCUGUCUAUGUAUGAUUCGGUUAAUAUGGACCUGAAUGGCAAGGGCUAGCCAACCUACUUAACUAGAUUAACAUAACAGGAACAGUACACAACCGGCUAGCUCGUGUUUGCAUUGGCUGCCACAUCGGCUAGCUAGAUGCGACUGCUUAAGGGCUAGUCAACAAAUUUUACAGCAUUCUAUGUUGUAGCCAAACACUUGCUCUGUAUUUUAUAUUAAAACCAUGGUAUUGUGUACCUGCCAACUACGAGUAAAUUAUUGCAGUUUUUAAUACUUUGGUUUUUUGAUACUAUGCUGUUCGAUUUACUUUUAUUUUGUCCCUAAACAUUUUGUUCUACAAUGUGCAGAUGCUGGCAUUUCAUUCAGGACAAAGAAGUUGGAUGAAGCAUAGUUUUACCUCAUUGAGCUAGUUCUGGGAGUAAUGAACUCCUUGUAGCAGAACUUGUACGUGUGCUAGUUCUGGGAGCUGAUCCUAUUUGUGUGUUAUAUGAUGUAGCAGAACUUGUAGGGCUCCUGUGAUAGACUUGGGCUGAUACACUUGGGCUG
Molecule: long non-coding RNA, 1004 nt
Filed under: Triticum aestivum (bread wheat)
Lineage: Eukaryota; Viridiplantae; Streptophyta; Magnoliopsida; Poales; Poaceae
Description: long non-coding RNA (TAES_LNC023178)
Source: RNAcentral